AGAAAUUGCAUAAAUGAGUUAAACUCAAAACAAAAAUGAGGAAAAGAUUGCCCAGCAUUGGGGUGUCACUAAGUCAUGAGCAUAUAAAACAAGUCUAGAAUCAUAGUUUACAAUGUUCUACCAAAUACCAAAACAGAAAGAAAAGAUAACAAUAGAAGGGGAGACAAGGGUUGCGGACGCCGACAGCUACCUCACAUGUCUCCGAUAGCCAAAUGCAGAACUCAAUGAUCUCUACGACUGGUCUCACCUGGAUCUGCGCACAAGGUGCAGGGAGUAACGUGAGUGCUUCCAACUCAGUAAGUAACAUAAAUAAGUAAGGAACUGAGAAACAAUGACGAGCUAUGCAAUUACACUGUAUUUCAAUAACUUUCAAACAAAGAACAGUCAUGCUUCCAAAUUUAGUAGUUUAAGACAAUCAGUUCGUGCUCAAGUAAACCGGAUAUCAAAAAUCUUCCAGAAAUUUGCACAACAAGGACAGAUAACAACUGAGUGCAAUAAAUAAUUGAAAAUAAGUACAGUAUCUCAAGGCAAUAGUCACUCAGCUUGUCUCAACAGCUCAAUCACUCGGCUCUCAGCCCUCGGUAAUCAUACUCAAUAGGUACCUGUGCUCAUUGGGAGUGUGCAGACUCUGGAGGGGCUUCUUCAGCCCAAACGCUAUAAUCCGCACGGACAACUCACGUGCUAUAAUAUCAAAACAAGAUUCACACGGACAACUCAAGUGCCAUAAUAUCAAUAUCUCACCACUUGGCCCUAGGCCUCACUCAGUCAUCAACCUCCCUAGACUCUCGGUCUCUCAGAAAUCAUAUAAAAUAGGUCAAACAGAGAUGAUAACAUGUAUCAACAAUGAACAGUAAGAGACAGAGGCAUAAUAAGCAAGAAAAGCUAUGACUCAGUACAAAACAACAAUUAGCAGUUAAUUCAGCAAAUACACGACCUUUACGGGUCCCAACAGUGAUAUCAUAGGGCCUAAAACAUGAUUUCUAACAUAAAAUGCAGUAAAUUUCCAUAAAAACAAAGGAACACGUAGUAAAUAGUAGGCUACUCAAUUUCACAGUCUCGCGGGACGGACCAAGUCACGAUCCCUUCGGUGCACACCUACACGCCCGUCAUCUAGCUUGUGCGUCACCUCCCAAAAUAGUCAUAUAACAUAAAGUCCGUGGUUUCAUACCCUUAGGACCAGAUUUAUAACCGUUACUUACCUCAAUCCGAGCGAAUCUCUACUCCAAAAUGCCCUUGCCUCUCGAGUCGGCCUCUGAACGUCUCGAAUCUCGCCACAAGUAAUACAAUACAAUCAAUAUAGGCUAAAUGAUCAAUUCCACAAGAAAACUAUCAAAUGUAGAGUCAAAAUCCGAAAUCGACUAAGAUCGAGCAACCUCCUUGAUUCGGAAUUUUGAGGAUUCUCAUAAAAAUUCUGCCCCAGAUUAAAUGCAUACUUUGGCCAAUACAUUCUUUGGCGAUUCUGAACAUGAUAAGAUCGGGAAAAUUUACGACCUUUCCCCAGUUUCUGACCAUAGGGAAAUGAAGAUUUUAUUAUGAUGAGACCGAACCCAUAGAGUUGCCUACGUAUCCCUUCUUAAACGGGAAUCAGGUCAAGCGUAGUUCAGUUACAACAAAUAGAAAGUGCAAACAUAAUCUUAAACAUAGUAUCUGACCUCAUUUGGUCAUUCAAAUCCCCAAAAUCCACUCUCCAAUUCUCUAGCCCUAAAUCCCUAAAUUUCCAAUUCCAAUCUCUAAUUAAAUGAUGAACAAGGCCAUAUAUUCACGGAAAUUAGACCAAUAUGGGUUAGGAAGUGCAUCUCCUAGGGGUGAAACUUAAAUGACUCAAACUAGAAAGUGCGUUUCCUAGAUGAACUUAAACGACCAAAACUAGGAAGUGCAUCUCCUAAAAAGCAUAAUCCAAAAGACCCAGACUAGGAAGUGCGUCUCCUAGGGGUAAAAUUUGAAUGACUCAAACUAGGAAGUGCGUCUCCUAGGGAUGAAACUUGUAACAUAAGAUUAGGAAGUGCAUUUCCUAAAUAAUAUAACCUGAAAGAUUCAGACUAAUAAGUGCGUCUCCUAUAGAUAAAACUUGAAUCACUCAAACUAGAAAGUGUGUCUCCUAGGGAUGAACUUAAAUGACCAAAAACUAGGAAGUGCGUCUCCUAGGGGUGAAAUCUCACUUUAGGAAGUGCGUCUCCUAGAAAAUGUAACAAGAAUGACUCAAACUAGGAAGAUCGUCUCCUAGAUGUGAGACUGAGCUUGAGGAAAACUAUAAACUAAGCUUGACUAAAGUAAAAACUGACCCUAUUCUCCAGGCGGGACCCCUGAACUCAAGAAAAACUAAUGAUUACCAACUUAACAAAAUUAAAAACUGACCAUAUUAUCCAGGCGGGACCCCUGAACUUAAACAAAGCUAAAGAUUAACAACUUAAAAAUUAAAAAUUGAUCCUAUUCUCCAGGCGAGACUCCUGAACUUAAGGAAAACUAAAGAUUAACAACUUAGUAAAACUAGAAAUUGACCCUAUUUUCCAGGCGGAACUCCUGAACUUAAGGAAAACUAAGACUAACAUCUUAAGAAAACUAAAAAUUCACCCUAUUUUCUAGGUGAGACCCCUGAACUUAAGGAAAACUAAAGAUUAACGAAUUAAGGAAAUUAAACUGACCCUAUUUUCCAGGCGAGACCCCUGAACUUAAGUAAAACUAAAGAUUAACAACUUAAGAAAACAAAAAUUGAUCCUAUUCUCCAGGCGGGACUCCUGCCAAAGAUUCUUCUUAACUAGGGAUAUGCCUAGGAGGUAUGGUUCUUCUCAACUAGGGAAAAUGCCUAGGAGGUGUGAUCUUCUCAAUAGCCUUUGCGUAAGCAGGAUUGGGGGGGUAUUACACCUGAAAAAUUCAAGCUUCCAAGCUUUGAUAUGAAUAUAGCCUUCAUCCCUAUUUCAGUCAACGAAAACUUGUGAGUUUAAAAUAUGGUGGUUAGUUUGUGGCUUUGACUACGAGGGUGAUUUCUCUUGCACUUGUCAUGAUCAACUUUGAUUCAGCUUGGAAGACAGUGCUUCUUAUCGGUCAACUACUUUUUCGGUCAACCCUUAUCACAAGAAAUAUUCCUAAUUCGUUCAAGUCCAAUACCUUGUAUCUGAUGCAUUGCACUCGUAUUCUAACAUUCACCGAGUCUUUGGGUUUUACAUAGAUCCCAAAGAACGUCUGUUGUCAUCAACUCAGUGCACACACUAUUCUCCCAUGUCUUAUGCAACUUUAAUGUGCUUGCUAGACUCUGCUUUGUGUAAUUAAAAAGCUGGUAGUAGAUUUUGAAGUUAUUUUUCACUUAUUUCGACAAAAAUAGACUCAAGAGGAACUCAAACAAAACAAGAGGAACAAAGUAAGGAGAAGAACGAGAAGAGAUGGUAUCUAACAAGAAAAUUUUUACCCAGGAAAAGAACAAUGUGGAAACUAAUAUGAUUUGAAGGCCAACUCCACUGAUCAUGACAUGCAUUUUGGAUUAAGCGGCCUAAUAUAUCCAACCAAUCACACUUUCAGUUCAUGUCAUGUCUUCGUACUUCAAAAAUCGGAAUUUACAUGAUCCAAUUUCUCUGUAAAGUCACAAAACUCAUUCAACUUGUAGUGCCCUGAAGGGUUUUCACCAACAAGCCUCUCUCAUUUGUUCAUCUCUCAACUUAGCGUUGCCUUACAGUGCCCGUGAGAGUUUUCACCAAUAAGACUCUCUCAUUUUGUUCAUUUUUCCUUGUGCCAAUGAUCAAAAUGUUACCCAUGAUGUAAAUCAUACCCUUAUCUCGCUUGACUUGGCAUCCUCAAAGAUUGGUUGGAAGGUCGUUAUUUGGACCGUAGGGUAGGCUUUUGGACAGGGUCAGAAAGAAAGGCAUGAAGGCUCAAAUUAAAACUAAGUUAAAAGGGUUAAUUUAUUUACAACUUUUGGAAUCCAUUAAAAACUUUGCCACAGUUUCUAGAACAAGAGAAUUUGAUUCUUUUUUCUUUUUUUCUUUUUUUAGAUGGAAUUACCAAGAAAGGCUGCCCCACGUUUGAUUUCGUGGGAUUAUGAAAUAUUUUAUUUGGUGCAACCGAACUUUAAGGCUGCCUACGUAUCUUGUGGUGACGGGAAUCAGGUCGAACAUAGUUCAAACAUCCGACCUAACUAUUUUUCUUUCUUUCUAUUUCUUUUUUUUCAAAACAAACUACCCUAGUUUCUAUUUUCUGGGGGCAUGGACCUUUGACUGUUCUUUCUUUCUUCUUCUUUUUAUUAUUUGAACUUUCUAAGAGUUGCCCCAGUUUGUACUCUCGGGGCAUGGACUUUUCUUUUUGUCAUUUUUUUACUGUUAACUCAAAACUUGAUUCCAGAAGAGGGUGGUCAAAGAAAAUAAUACAAUCUCAAAAUGGGUAGCAAGGGGUAUAAAGUGUUUCGAUUGGAGAAAAAGGGCCUCCCAGCCCUGAGAAUGCCAAACAUGGUAUCCUUUCGCGAUCACAGCAUUGACGGACAUGUCUAUCUUCUUGGUGUGUCGUGGUCGAAAGACACUUUUCAUCCAUUAAUGUCAAACUUUACCACAAACUUUAAUUUAUUUCCUCAAACCAGACCUUCACAAUGAUUUGAAGGUUCCACAUGAAUUUUACUCGAGCUUAAUUCCAAAGUGUUUCGACUCUUUAUUCAUCCUCACAAGUGUCUCUUUCUCAGUUAUCCAAUUCAAGGCUAAAUUAGUUUUCUGGGAUCUGGCUAAAAUUUCGUGUGCAUGUCAUGUCAUUAGAACUAGCGGGAAAAGAACUGAGCACAUAAUGACAUAAAAGGACAAAUUAUAUUUCAUUGAUUAGAGGAUGGAAUGGUUUAACAACAAGACAAACGACCUAAAAUUCGAGUUACAAACCUAAAACAACCCAGAUACUGAAAAUAAAAACAGAACAGACAGACAAAACUCACACAAAUACAAUAGAGGGAUAGAAGAGUUUGACUCAAUAAAACAAAUAAAAUCUAGAUCACAACCCUGAAAUAAAUCAGAUAAUAGAAAAAUAUCAAAACAAGCUACCGAGAUUCCUUCAUAGUGAGGAGGGAAUGAUUUUUAAAUUGCUAAGCUUGACAUUUAGCCACAAAUUUGCUCAUCACAAUCACUAGGGCCUUCUCUAAUUUCAAAAUCAUUAACUUUAGUCAGCAAGUUGUCACACCCCUUUUUUAACCAAACCUCACUAACCCUCUUACAAAUAAUAAAAAGAUUUCGCAAGGCUCAAAAGGGUUUUUCAAUUUUGAAAGUGACAAAAAUUUGUGUUCAAAAAGAAAAUAAUUCAGAGUCGCCACCUGAUUCGGUGUGUCAGGUCACCAUUUUUUUUAAAAUGAUUUUUCCUUUUAAAAAACACUUAGGACUCCAAAACUAAAUCUGCACCAGAGAUUUGGGUAAGGGGGUUCAUUUGACUCGGGGAGAAGGUGUUAGGCACUCCCCAAGUCCCGUGAAAAUCACGGUUGCGUACUCAAUCUAGUUGGCUUUUAAGAUAUUUAAAUUAAGGUAAAACACACAAAGGAAAAUAAACAUCCAAAGGGUUCGAGGUCGUCCCUUCCUAAUAAAAAGAAAUAAAACAAAAUAAAGCAAGUUUUCUUAGCUCAUACUACGCCUCCGUUGAUGAUACCGUGACUCCAUUUACAUUUACUUCGGGGCAUUCCCCGGAUUAAAAAUAUUUACAAAGUCCACGGGGCAUUCCCCGAAUGAAUUUAUCUAAGGGACAACCUCUCACCUCAAAACCAAAAGCAAAUGAAAAAUCCUAAAAUUGCCUAUCUAAGUGUGGUCGGCCUAAACAUGCUUCUAACGGACAUUUAAAAUAAUAGACAUGACAAUCCUAAAUUUUUGUUCAAUUCUGGUACCAAGCCGUAUCAGUUUUGCUUUUAACCAACCCAAGACCAUCUAUGUUUCUAAUCAAAUUUCUUUCACAAAAUCCAUGCUAAUUCUCAAUUGCACAAUGACGUUCAAGACACUUACCAAACAGAAAUAUUUCUGCUAGUAACCAAAUGAUAGCAAAUUCAUUUUUAACUUUCAAUUUAAUUCCCCAAUAUCAACUCACAAAUAAAUCAUAUAGCCCGCACAGAUUUUCAGAUCGAACUAAGUCACUAGGCCAUGUCACAUUAUUAACGAUUUAGCAAAUUGGUUUAGUGUUGUUCUCAGGUGAAAUUAUGGAUCAAAAGGAAGCCCAGUAUUCAAACCAAAUGAAGCGAAUUACAAACAGAGGACAAACAAAUAGCAUUCAUGUCAUCAAAAAUCAAUCACAUACACGCGCACAAAAUCUAAAGCGAGAGCAAAGCGAGAAAUGAACCUCAAAAGAGUUAUCAGAUUUCCUUCGACACUUGAAAAUCGUACAAGAUCCUUAAGCCAAAAUCGAGCGAAUCGCAACACGAACAGGAUGAAAACAGCAACAAGAACUCGGACAGUAACCUCGACGUAUGACUGAACGAGACCUCGGCGAACAACAACGACUUCAAUAAACUCAACUCAACCUCAUGUACUAACCAAUACCACUAGUUUCUCGCGUAUGCCUGUGUAUGAGUGGUGAGGAUUUGCUGGUCUGGUUGGGGUUUCCGGCAUGUGUGACGGGGAUAGAGAUCGGGGUCAUUGGUUGGAGAGGAGCUGGUUGUUUUUAGGCGAGGGGUCACUGGCGGCUAGGCUACUGGUGGUUUAGGGCCGUCUUUAGGUGUUGUUCGUUGGUGUUUGGUGAAGUCAGGGGACUGUUGGUGGCGUGCAGAAGGAGAAGGGCUGUUGCUGACGGCGGGUUGCUGGUUCUGGCGGCAGCGGUGGUGUAGAUUAGUUAGGUUUCAGCUUGUUCCAUUGUUGUUUGAUUCAUGAGGAAGAAGGUUAAGGUUUGUGUUUGGUUUUUAUGUUGAAGAAGAAGGAAGGUCCGACAGCUAUGGAGGUUUAGGGUUCAGUUUGUCUCCUUUCCAUGAAGAAGAAGAUCCAGUGUGCUAGGGUUCUAGGGUUCUGGUCGCGUGUGGCCGGUGAAGAGCGUGGUGGGCGAUUUUGGUGCCUUUUCGUGGAGGUUUUGGCAGCUGGUCCCUUUUUCAAGACUAGGAGUUGAAAACUUUUUUUAGGGUUUCUAUAAUUGGUAUUUUAUAUGAAGGUGGGAAGGGAUGAUGUCCAUUGGAUUAGAAAGAAAUAGAUGGCUAGGAUUAAAUCUUGCACAUAAAUGGGCUAAUGGGUUGGGAAGAAUGGGCUAAGAAUAAUUGGGUUUAAGUUAAAAGGAAUGGACUCACACCUUUGGGCCUACAAAUUUCUUGUUGGACAAAGUCAAACUCAAAAAUCUUACCAAAAU
RNAcentral lists this long non-coding RNA (7266 nucleotides) under Nicotiana tabacum (common tobacco). Its description in RNAcentral is "long non-coding RNA (NTAB_LNC005757)". The record is from RNAcentral. Lineage: Eukaryota; Viridiplantae; Streptophyta; Magnoliopsida; Solanales; Solanaceae.